This 253-nucleotide ribosomal RNA is filed under the name uncultured bacterium. RNAcentral's name for it is "partial 16S ribosomal RNA". It matches the Rfam family "Bacterial small subunit ribosomal RNA", at positions 524 to 776 of the family's 1533-position model. The record is from RNAcentral.
UACGAAGGGGGCUAGCGUUGCUCGGAAUCACUGGGCGUAAAGCGCACGUAGGCGGAUUGUUAAGUCAGGGGUGAAAUCCUGGAGCUCAACUCCAGAACUGCCUUUGAUACUGGCGAUCUCGAGUCCGGGAGAGGUGAGUGGAACUGCGAGUGUAGAGGUGAAAUGCGCAGAUAUCAGGAAGAACACCCGUGGCGAAGGCGGCUCUCUGGGACGGUACUGACGCUGAGACGCGAAAGCGUGGGGAGCGAACAGG